Molecule: ribosomal RNA, 487 nt
Filed under: Vittaforma corneae
Lineage: Eukaryota; Fungi; Microsporidia; Nosematidae
Description: bacterial SSU rRNA
Rfam family: Microsporidia small subunit ribosomal RNA
Source: RNAcentral
CUACCAAGACAGUGACGGUUGACGGGAGAUAAGGGUCUUAUUCCGGAGAGGGAGCCUGAGAGAUGGCUCCCACGUCCAAGGACGGCAGCAGGCGCGAAAAUUGCCCACUCUUCGCGAGGAGGCGGUUAUGAGACGUGAACGAAAGACCAGACUGCAAAGGAGUCUGCGUGACGCAAUUGGAGGGCAAGUUUGGUGCCAGCAGCCGCGGUAAUACCGACUCCAAGAGUUUCUAUGGUGGAUGCUGCAGUUAAAAAGUCCGUAGUUGACACGGCAAUCAAAGCGCAUCGGCCAACGGUGCUGCGUUUGCCAGUGGUGGCGGAACGGACAGGGGGCACAGUAUAUGCGGGCGAGAGAUGAAAUGACCAAGACCCUGCGUGGACUGACCGAGGCGAAGGCGGUGCCCUUGUACGACUCCGCGGAUCAAGGACGAAGGCUGGAGUAUCGAAAGUGAUUAGAUACCGCUGUAGUUCCAGCAGUAAAAGAUGCC